RNAcentral lists this long non-coding RNA (251 nucleotides) under Physcomitrium patens. Its description in RNAcentral is "long non-coding RNA (PPAT_LNC011314)". Lineage: Eukaryota; Viridiplantae; Streptophyta; Bryopsida; Funariales; Funariaceae. The record is from RNAcentral.
GGACAUGGAAGAGCAGCGCAGCGCAGAAGUGAAAAGAGAGUAGUCGACAAGGGAAUCGGGAAACAGUGUGGGCGUUGAUGUGGUGGUUGCGAUGGAGGGUGAGUUUUGUUGUCAUGUGCGUGAUUCCUUUAUGCCUGCCCACCGUGCCACUACUCCGCCUCCUUUUAGCUUCCCUUUGCUACUUGAAAUGGCUCUUCCAGGGGUGAAUCAUUUCAUGUGCCGACGAGGGAAGAGUCACAGCCUCGCACCCA